RNAcentral lists this ribosomal RNA (318 nucleotides) under Triticum aestivum (bread wheat). Its description in RNAcentral is "partial small subunit ribosomal RNA". The record is from RNAcentral. Lineage: Eukaryota; Viridiplantae; Streptophyta; Magnoliopsida; Poales; Poaceae.
AUGCAAUGGAGGCGUGGAUGUGGAGCACCAGCGCUGGAUCUGGGCGACGGAGGCAUGGAUGUGGAGCGGCACCAGAGCGGCGGAUCUGGAGCAGCUCCGGAGCAGUGGAGCGGCGGAUCUGGAGCAGCGUCUUCGUCCUCACGGUGCCCACGUCGUCGUCUUCGCCGGAGUAGCUGCUUCCUCCCCUACCCAACGCCUGUCACUGACGACAAGUGCAAGAAGAAGGCCCUGAGGAUUAUUCACAAAGCAGAGAGGGAGAAGCAUAAGCGCGACCUGCUCAAUGAUCUCUUCAGUGAACUUGACGAAAUGCUAGUGUGA